CCUGGCUCAGGAUGAACGCUAGCUACAGGCUUAACACAUGCAAGUCGAGGGGCAGCAUGGUCUUAGCUUGCUAAGGCCGAUGGCGACCGGCGCACGGGUGAGUAACACGUAUCCAACCUGCCGUCUACUCUUGGACAGCCUUCUGAAAGGAAGAUUAAUACAAGAUGGCAUCAUGAGUCCGCAUGUUCACAUGAUUAAAGGUAUUCCGGUAGACGAUGGGGAUGCGUUCCAUUAGAUAGUAGGCGGGGUAACGGCCCACCUAGUCUUCGAUGGAUAGGGGUUCUGAGAGGAAGGUCCCCCACAUUGGAACUGAGACACGGUCCAAACUCCUACGGGAGGCAGCAGUGAGGAAUAUUGGUCAAUGGGCGAGAGCCUGAACCAGCCAAGUAGCGUGAAGGAUGACUGCCCUAUGGGUUGUAAACUUCUUUUAUAAAGGAAUAAAGUCGGGUAUAGAUACCCGUUUGCAUGUACUUUAUGAAUAAGGAUCGGCUAACUCCGUGCCAGCAGCCGCGGUAAUACGGAGGAUCCGAGCGUUAUCCGGAUUUAUUGGGUUUAAAGGGAGCGUAGAUGGAUGUUUAAGUCAGUUGUGAAAGUUUGCGGCUCAACCGUAAAAAUUGCAGUUGAUACUGGAUAUCCUGAGUGCAGUUGAGCAAGGCGGAAUUCGUGGUGUAGCGGUGAAAUGCUUAGAUAUCACGAAGAACUCCGAUUGCGAAGGCAGCCUGCUAAGCUGCAACUGACAUUGAGGCUCGAAAGUGUGGGUAUCAAACAGGAUUAGAUACCCUGGUAGUCCACACGGUAAACGAUGAAUACUCGCUGUUUGCGAUAUACUGCAAGCGGCCAAGCGAAAGCGUUAAGUAUUCCACCUGGGGAGUACGCCGGCAACGGUGAAACUCAAAGGAAUUGACGGGGGCCCGCACAAGCGGAGGAACAUGUGGUUUAAUUCGAUGAUACGCGAGGAACCUUACCCGGGCUUAAAUUGCAGAUGAAUUACGGUGAAAGCCGUAAGCCGCAAGGCAUCUGUGAAGGUGCUGCAUGGUUGUCGUCAGCUCGUGCCGUGAGGUGUCGGCUUAAGUGCCAUAACGAGCGCAACUCUUGUUGUCAGUUACUAACAGGUUCCGCUGAGGACUCUGACAAGACUGCCAUCGUAAGAUGUGAGGAAGGUGGGGAUGACGUCAAAUCAGCACGGCCCUUACGUCCGGGGCUACACACGUGUUACAAUGGGGGGUACAGAGGGCCGCUACCACGCGAGUGGAUGCCAAUCCCCAAAACCUCUCUCAGUUCGGACUGGAGUCUGCAACCCGACUCCACGAAGCUGGAUUCGCUAGUAAUCGCGCAUCAGCCACGGCGCGGUGAAUACGUUCCCGGGCCUUGUACACACCGCC
Molecule: ribosomal RNA, 1382 nt
Filed under: uncultured bacterium
Lineage: Bacteria
Description: bacterial SSU rRNA
Rfam family: Bacterial small subunit ribosomal RNA
Source: RNAcentral